Molecule: long non-coding RNA, 3238 nt
Organism: Equus quagga
Lineage: Eukaryota; Metazoa; Chordata; Mammalia; Perissodactyla; Equidae
Exons: 3
Source: RefSeq, a predicted model, not a curated record
UGGGGGUACACAGAGAGGAGGUGAGAUUCCGACGUGGCUUUUGAAGAGCUGAAUGCACGCAGAGAAAACAGACAUGACCCUAAGAUUGCUUACACCCGCAAAUGAAAAUCACUGCUGAGUGACUACCUCCAGGUGGCAGAUUUAAGAGUGGUUUUUACUUUCUUUGUGGGUGUGUUUCUAAUUUUUCCUUCAACGAGUAUAUAUUAGUAUUUGUGUAAUAAAAGUUAUUCAAAAGGUGAGUACAUGGUAAACAGGUGCUAAGUGCACAGGGAGGUGCCGAUGAAAAUACCGGGGAAGCAGAGAGGAGGCAGUGUUCCUUCCAGCCCAGGAGGAUGGGAAAGGCUUUGGGACAAGGUCGUCAUUGAGUUGGGCCUUGAAGCCAGAGGGAGGCCUUGCAGUGGACGUCUGUGGGACGGCCUGCCCAGCACUGCUCUCCCUCUUUGUGGCCCACAGGAGCUGCCUGGGUCUCAGAUGGCCUUAGCCCUCAUCCUGCUUUGUCUCACUGUCUAGUGGGGGCGCCUGACCAAGCCUGGCCACUCGGAGUCCUUACCCUGGGACUUCCUGGCUGAAAGCCUGCAGUAUCUUUGGUGCAAGUUGUUAACAAAGAUGUGAAAUUCAGGAGCUGCACGUGUGGUGGAUGCAGGGAGGGAUUUGGCUGCUGCAUUUCCUGCAGGGUGGAGGAAACCAGUCUGCCGUGAGAGAGUGAAGUGGGCACCUGGAGAGAAGAGCACACAGCCAGAAGACAGGUGUCUGCCAGCCAGGAAGCGGGCCCUUGCCAAGAACCGAAUCUGCUGGCACCUUGAUCUUGGACUUCCCAGUGUCUAGAACUGGAGGCAGGCAGAGCAGACACUGUGGCCUCCGCAUCGCAGUGGAGGACACUGAGGCACAGGGAGGUGGAGCUCCUGGAGUUUCUUGGACAACGGCUGAGCCAGACCUGUACCUCUGACGUGACUCGUGAGAGCUACUGCAAAGCAGAGGCAUCUCUGCUUUUGCCUCCCUGUUGGGGCUGUGAUUCUCGGACUUAACACACGUCGGACACCUUUCCGAAGAAGAAAGGACACUAAGAGCAUUCAUUCAACAGAUCAUCUUAUUGAGCACCGGCUAUGUGCCAAGCUCUGGCUGGGCACUGAGGACUCAAGAGAUGAACCAGAUGUGGUCUCCACUCCAUAGCGGCAGCAUCUAUCAGCACUUGCUCUUGCUUCAUUCAGUCUCCCGUGUUGGCACUGAACAGAAUCACCGGCCAUGAGACCCUGCAGUGAUCUCUCCCACCCUGCAACCCUUGUUGUGUCCCAAAGCAUUCCACUGGGCCGUCUCUGCGAGAGGAAAGGCCCACUUCCAAAACUGGCGGGAAGAUAACCAGGAGGGAGGAGCAGAGAUGAGUGGCGUUAGGGAAGUGCUGAAGCCACCCCGGCUCUGGGGCAGACAGGAUGGGGCUGCAAGGAGAUGAGAGGCCACCUGGCUGGUGAGGAAGUGCUUCCAGGAGAGCAGCUGGGAGCAGCCUGCUGGCCGAAGGCUGAGGGGCUGACCGGGAGUCAAGGGCAGCCUGGAGAACAGCACUAACAGCCGCACAGGACGCUGGAAGGAAACCCGGAGCCCGUUCUUUGAACACUGACAGCCAUUAAGAUCCUGUUUCCACAGGUGGGGAUUGUGGGGCCACGCCCUACCCACUGCAAAUCAUUUUCUGAAUUGUCGUGUAGCAUCUUAAAGGCAGAAGCAUAAAGGUUCCCACCCAGCUUGACAGUGGGGGACCUGUCAUUAAGGCCUGAGGAAAACUUUUCAGCAUCUUACCUCUUCCCUACGCUGAGGCCAACUGUGCCUUGCUCUAUGAACAGAAAAAGAAUUCAGCCACAUUUUAGACUCUUGUAAAGCAGCUUUUAUCUGCUCAGUGAAAUGGCAGUGAGGGGACAAAUUUCCACACAAAGAACCCAAACUUUCCAGGCCUAAAUAGGGUUCCAGCAGUACACUCUUAACUCACAGGAAACAGCCUCCAACAUCGAUUUCUGCUUUCCUCUGCAGAAUUUGUAGCCCAAACACACACUGUGGGUUUAACUCAGCAGACCUGAGGACACAGGUGAAAGGGACUCAGAAAACCGCACAGCUCAGGGAGUGCACCAACAGGCAGGUGCAUCGGAAAGCAAAUUAGGGCCCACGGGGUUUCGGUCUUAAUGUGCAGGGGCGACGCCCACCACAGAGGAAAAGAAGCUGUUCGCUUUGUGUUGUUUUGCUUCUUAAGGCUGCCUUUGCAUCAGCCCGUCUUUAAAACAGCAAAGAAAUGCUACAGAGCCAGACCACUGGUGCAAGGGACUAGAGAGUGGAAUUAUCCUCAUGUUAUAAACAUAGAAAAUUAGACCUGCAACUUGGAGGAAGCCUUAGAAACCAUCUAACUCACUGACUUUAUUUUCCCAUUAAGAAUCUGAGGCUUUGGUCCUAAACAGAGUAAGUGUGGCUGGCUGCCACUUCUCGGUCUCCGGCUCAGCAGCCGGCGCUGGGUAAGGAAUUGUGCUAAUCUGCUAGGACAGCUGUAACAAAGGACCACAGGCUGGGGGUGUGAACAGCAGACAUUUGUCUCACAGUUCUAGAGGCUAGAAAUUUGAGGUCAAGGUAUCGGCAGGGUUACUUCCAUCUGAAGGCUGAGCGAGAGAAACUGUUCCAUGCCUCUCUCUCGGAGCUUCUGGGGCUUUGCUGGCAAUUUGAGGCACUCCUUGGCUUGUCGAAGCAUCACCCUGACCUCUGCCUUCGCAUUCACACGGCAUUCCUCUGAGUACCUCUCUGUCUUUGUGUCCAAAUUUCUUUUUUUAAAUAAGGACACCAGUCUUAUUGAAUUAGGGCCCAUCCUAGUGACAUCAUCUUAAUUUAACCAACUAUAUGAGCAAGGACCCUACUUCCACAUAAGGUUAUAUUCUGAGUUACUGGGGUUAGGACUUCAACAUACGAAAUUGGGGAGACCGCAAUUUAACUCAUAACAGAGCUCUGCCUACAUUGUGUCUGGUCCUCACCGCAAGGUUGCAGCUUGGGGUAAUCUGUCUUCUACGGAGGAUCAGGCCCUGAGAGAUGGGCAGUGCCCGGGGCACGGCAAGGAGGAUGUGAAGAGCAUGGACUCUGGGCCAGGCUGCCUGGGGUGGUAGCCAGCCCCACCUCCCAGGAGUUAAUGAACGUGGGUAAGCUCUCCCGUGCCUCAGUUUCUUCAUGUGCAAGACAGGAAUAAUACAGGUCCACAAUUUCAAAACCCUGAAAUCUC